GUUAAGCACCUUCACACUGCUGAAAUCUGUGAAAAUUAAUACUGUGUCUUCACGUACCUUCCGGGGAUCCUAUGUCACAGUGGAAGGAUUUAGCAAAAAGCGCAACUAACUGGAUUAGGCAGCAGCACGCUUACGUUGCAGCAACUUGGACUUGCCACCUUGCUGGGAUGGCCAGAUGGGGAAUGAGAUGGGACUGUGUGAUAUCCUUCAUGUUCUCCUGGCAGUGUUACAGUGGAGUGGAAAGCAGAGAGAACUUCGAGUGGCCACUCAAAUGUAGGUCCAUUUGCUACGUUGAAGCAUAUUCCAAGAGGGCACGAGGGUUCUGGAACAAGACUAUUGUGCGAUACAGACAAAGGGAGCCAGGUAGAGUACUUUAACUAAAGAUCAAGAUCAUCCCUGGCAGUCAAGGCUUGCCCUCUUUUAAUUCCACUUCUUCUUUCCCCCGUCAAGAAGGAAUGGAUUCUGCCAAUGGAUUGUGCAGGUUUUCGGGGGGGGUUUUGGAAGCACUGGCUCAUGAGAAACUGGAAAUGAGCUGGAUAAUGUGCAUUACCUCCACUGCACAUCCAUAUACAGUCAAAAAUAUACCCACUUACAGGUCAUUCCACCUUCUGUGCAAAUAUUAUGUCACUGAUUCUUGUCUCAGCAUUUCCAUGAAUGAGCAAAGAUGAUACUGUUAGCUUGAAAGAGCUAGUUUUCAGUGUUAUUCCCCACCCCACCUGCCAUCUGAAACGGUGGGAGGGACGAUUUUAACUGUAACUUGCAUAGAGAGACAUUGUGAAUGGAGCAAGACGUGACAUCGCUACUGAGAGGAGAAGCAGGUGAUCUGAGGAGGAGUUUCCACUCUUGUGAUUGCUUGAGAAAGUUUGACUGUGCCUGAUGCCAUCGUAGCAGCAGUGACCAGGAUUUGAACCAGCCACUGGUUACUCAAAACCUCACAGAAUAAGGAAGCUUCACUGCAUAGUCAAACUGAAGAGAUUUGCCUAAUGACUUGCAAACCACCUGCAGUGUGUGGGUGUUUGAUGAAUCUUCACACCUGCCUAUUAUAAGUCAUUUUAUUUUUACAGUCUUAGGCCUUGUAACGCAAUGAAAGUUAAAAGCCAGCCCAGAAGGAGAAAAAGUCUGUUUGCUCUGUACCUGUCUGGCUUGUGUGCCUCAGAUAUUCAGUGGUCUGCCAUCCUUUUCUCUUGGCAGAAGGGAUAACUUUGGCUAGGCUGGGGGUCAGAAAGGGCUAGAAAACCUGCCAUGCCAUCUCCAAGCAUCAAGUACCUGCUCUUGCUAAGGUAGCUAGGAGAGACCAGUCCUCAUGGUGACCACAGAAAUAGCUGAUGGGGUGGUGCAGUGAUGGAUCUGAAAAGAAACAGGGGCUGGUCAGAAACA
Molecule: long non-coding RNA, 1377 nt
Filed under: Crocodylus porosus (Australian saltwater crocodile)
Lineage: Eukaryota; Metazoa; Chordata; Crocodylia; Crocodylidae
Description: lncRNA (ENSCPRG00005018738.1)
Source: RNAcentral